Molecule: long non-coding RNA, 380 nt
Filed under: Rattus norvegicus (Norway rat)
Lineage: Eukaryota; Metazoa; Chordata; Mammalia; Rodentia; Muridae
Description: long non-coding RNA NONRATT006849
Source: RNAcentral
GCGUCAUCCAGUUGUGACUAAUGGUCAUGAGUCGUCAAGGAGCACCAUUCCGGUUCACGCCCGUCUUCCAUUUAGACUUUGAAGGCAGAAGUGGAGUUCAGCAUGAGGUACUCCAUGGCAUCAGCAGACUGGCCUCACCGUGGCCCUACCCAAGCAUUGCUACACUCAUGAUGGCCAAGGACCCCGCACAUCUGUUGUGGUUUGCGUGUGGCUUGGAUGUGUGUCCCUGAAUGAUGCAUGCCUUGAAGUUUGAUCUCUGUUGUGAGGAGCCUUGUGAAGGGAAGACAACGAUUCAGUGGACAUUUUUGCUUGUUAGUUUGUGGUGGUUGUUGUACAAAAACCAAAGCAAAACAAAGAAAAAAUAAUCUCUAAACUGAAAA